GACUCUUACAGGUGGAUCACUCGGCUUCUGCAUUGGUGAAGAGUGCAGCUAGCUGUGAUAAUUAAUGUGAAUUGCAGGACAUUGAUCCUUGGAAAGGCACACUUGGAACGCACUUGCAGCCCUUGGUUCCUCCAGGGUCUAUGCCUGUCUGAGCAUCU
This is a ribosomal RNA of 158 nucleotides. It matches the Rfam family "5.8S ribosomal RNA". Rfam says of the family: 5.8S ribosomal RNA (5.8S rRNA) is a component of the large subunit of the eukaryotic ribosome. It is transcribed by RNA polymerase I as part of the 45S precursor that also contains 18S and 28S rRNA. The record is from Ensembl.